Molecule: ribosomal RNA, 425 nt
Filed under: uncultured cyanobacterium
Lineage: Bacteria; Bacillati; Cyanobacteriota
Description: bacterial SSU rRNA
Rfam family: Bacterial small subunit ribosomal RNA
Source: RNAcentral
GGGGAAUUUUCCGCAAUGGGCGAAAGCCUGACGGAGCAAUACCGCGUGAGGGAGGAAGGCUCUUGGGUCGUAAACCUCUUUUCUCAGGGAAUAAGUACUGAAGGUACCUGAGGAAUCAGCAUCGGCUAACUCCGUGCCAGCAGCCGCGGUAAUACGGAGGAUGCAAGCGUUAUCCGGAAUGAUUGGGCGUAAAGCGUCCGCAGGUGGCGAUGUAAGUCUGCUGUUAAAGCGUCUAGCUCAACUAGAUAAAAGCAGUGGAAACUACUUACGCUAGAGUACGUUCGGGGCAGAGGGAAUUCCUGGUGUAGCGGUGAAAUGCGUAGAGAUCAGGAAGAACACCGGUGGCGAAGGCGCUCUGCUAGGCCGUAACUGACACUGAGGGACGAAAGCUAGGGGAGCGAAUGGGAUUAGAUACCCCAGUAGUC